This 207-nucleotide long non-coding RNA is filed under the name Nicotiana benthamiana. RNAcentral's name for it is "long non-coding RNA (NBEN_LNC020948)". Lineage: Eukaryota; Viridiplantae; Streptophyta; Magnoliopsida; Solanales; Solanaceae. The record is from RNAcentral.
ACGUUCAAAAAAUUUUUUCCGGAUUUUAAUCAAAACAAUCGAUUAUACAAAAUCAAUAAUCGAUUACCCAAUAACGUUCAAAAAAUCUUUUCCCGGUUUUAAUCAAAACAAUCGAUUAUACAGAAUCAAUAAUCGAUUACCUGAUGGUAUCUGAAAACUUUACGACAACGGUCAGCUUCACAAUCGAUUGCACAAAGUCAACAAUCG